RNAcentral lists this small RNA (103 nucleotides) under Marmota monax (woodchuck). Lineage: Eukaryota; Metazoa; Chordata; Mammalia; Rodentia; Sciuridae. The record is from RNAcentral.
GCUGGAUGUAGUGGUGCACACCUGUAAUUCCAGCUACUCGGGAGGCUGAGGCAGGAGGAUCUCAUGUCUGAGGCCGGUCUGGGCAACUUAGAUCCUGUCUCAA